AGUGAACGCUGGCGGUAGGCCUAACACAUGCAAGUCGAACGGCAGCACAGUAAGAGCUUGCUCUUACGGGUGGCGAGUGGCGGACGGGUGAGGAAUACAUCGGAAUCUACUUUUUCGUGGGGGAUAACGUAGGGAAACUUACGCUAAUACCGCAUACGACCUACGGGUGAAAGCAGGGGAUCUUCGGACCUUGCGCGAUUGAAUGAGCCGAUGUCGGAUUAGCUAGUUGGCGGGGUAAAGGCCCACCAAGGCGACGAUCCGUAGCUGGUCUGGGAGGAUGAUCAGCCACACUGGAACUGAGACACGGUCCAGACUCCUACGGGAGGCAGCAGUGGGGAAUAUUGGACAAUGGGCGCAUGCCUGAUCCAGCUAUACCGCGUGGGUGAAGAAGGCCUUCGGGUUGUAAAGCCCUUUUGUUGGGAAAGAAAAGCAGCAGGUUAAUACCCCGCUGUUCUGACGGUACCCAAAGAAUAAGCACCGGCUAACUUCGUG
This 492-nucleotide ribosomal RNA is filed under the name uncultured bacterium. RNAcentral's name for it is "partial 16S ribosomal RNA". It matches the Rfam family "Bacterial small subunit ribosomal RNA", at positions 29 to 507 of the family's 1533-position model. The record is from RNAcentral.